RNAcentral lists this ribosomal RNA (253 nucleotides) under uncultured bacterium. RNAcentral describes it as "partial 16S ribosomal RNA". It matches the Rfam family "Bacterial small subunit ribosomal RNA", at positions 524 to 776 of the family's 1533-position model. The record is from RNAcentral.
UACGGAGGGUGCGAGCUUUGUCCGGAAUCACUGGGCGUAAAGGGCGCGUAGGCGGCCUGGUAAGUAGGGGGUGAAAUCCUGCGGCUUAACCGCAGGGCUGCCUUCUAAACUGUCAGGCUCGAGCACGGUAGAGGCAGAUGGAAUUCCCGGUGUAGCGGUGGAAUGCGUAGAGAUCGGGAAGAACAUCAGUGGCGAAGGCGGUCUGCUGGGCCGUUGCUGACGCUGAGGCGCGACAGCGUGGGGAGCAAACAGG